Molecule: ribosomal RNA, 96 nt
Filed under: Acinetobacter radioresistens
Lineage: Bacteria; Pseudomonadati; Pseudomonadota; Gammaproteobacteria; Moraxellales; Moraxellaceae
Also listed under: 1 other name
Source: RNAcentral
GUGAACCACCUGAUCCCUUCCCGAACUCAGAAGUGAAACCUCUUAGCGCUGAUGGUAGUGUGGGGUUACCCAUGUGAGAGUAAGUCAUCGCCAGCU